GAGAUUGGCAUGCAUUAUCUUGCAGACGCGACGUAAGUUAUUCUAUUGGCCCUAUCGAGCUCCUUUUCGUUGUUUCUACCGAUAAUCAUGGGGAUUUAUGCGAAAAUCUUACUGUAAAAAGAAAAUUUUAAGUCCAGAGUCCAGUCCAAAGUCCAGUCUAAAAUCCAGUCCAAAAUCCAGUCCAAAAUCCAGUCCAAAAUCCAGUCCAAAGUCCAGUCCAAAGUCCAGUCCAAAGUCCAGUCCAAACCUAGUCCAGUCCAGUGUUUACAAUAUGCCAUGUAUAGUGUAAUUGAAAUAUUACUGUUCAGUAAUAAUUUGCUUUUACAUUAAUUGCCCGAUUACGAUGUCACAAAAUAACAUUCCACUGUAACCUAAAUCGGAACCAGGGCC
This is a non-coding RNA of Paramuricea clavata, 390 nucleotides long. The record is from the annotation of a GenBank genome assembly. NCBI's taxonomy places the organism in Eukaryota, Metazoa, Cnidaria, Anthozoa, Malacalcyonacea, Plexauridae.